AUGGAUAUUUGGAUUACUUCCAACUCCUGGCCAUUGGAUAAUAAAUAUAUCAGGAAACCAGGCUUCCACAGUAAGAUGAGAAAUAGAGGCUUAGCAGCAGAUGAAGAAAAGAAGCUGUAUGAGGUCACCUUGGACAAUCUGUUGACUAAUGUUCCAGGUUUUAUUGUCCUGGACAGAGUUCCAUGGAGGCAUGAGUGGCAGCACCAUCUCCAAGUAUGGGGCCCUCACCAUUGA
This 234-nucleotide long non-coding RNA is filed under the name Cricetulus griseus (Chinese hamster). RNAcentral's name for it is "lncRNA (ENSCGRG00000026127.1)". The record is from RNAcentral. Lineage: Eukaryota; Metazoa; Chordata; Mammalia; Rodentia; Cricetidae.